Molecule: ribosomal RNA, 354 nt
Filed under: uncultured bacterium
Lineage: Bacteria
Description: bacterial SSU rRNA
Rfam family: Bacterial small subunit ribosomal RNA
Source: RNAcentral
AGAGUUUGAUCCUGGCUCAGGGUGAACGCUAGCUACAGGCUUAACACAUGCAAGUCGAGGGGCAGCAUGGUCUUAGCUUGCUAAGGCCGAUGGCGACCGGCGCACGGGUGAGUAACACGUAUCCAACCUGCCGUCUACUCUUGGACAGCCUUCUGAAAGGAAGGUUAAUACAAGAUGGCAUCAUGAGUCCGCGUGUUCACAUGAUUAAAGGUAUUCCGGUAGACGAUGGGGAUGCGUUCCAUUAGAUAGUAGGCGGGGUAACGGCCCACCUAGUCUUCGAUGGAUAGGGGUUCUGAGAGGAAGGUCCCCCACAUUGGAACUGAGACACGGUCCAAACUCCUACGGGAGGCAGCA